AGAAAAGGGAGCAAAAAAGUUAAAGUUGUUUUUCUCUGAUAAGUUGAAUCACACAAAAAAAGACUUUUCUGUUGGGUGAAUCUGAGACUUUUUGGAAAGAGAAAGAAAGAAGUAUCAAUUUAACCUAAACUCUCUGCUGUUCAAAAAACAAUAUUGGUCAUAACCAACCAAGUGAAGCUAAAGUUGGAUGUACUUCAGUAAAAGCAGGAAGAGUGUUCGCCUGUUGAGUCACAAAGUUUACUAUCACACUUUUUUUAAGCUCUUGUCAGCAGCUAUCUAUUUUCAGUCUGAGCUUUUACAGGAAAUAUUCUAGUUUCGUCUCUUUUGCUCAGUUCCAUGAUUUCAAUAAAGGGAACUUCAACAAAGCUAGCGAACGGUGCUUAUGAUGAACUACAUGAUUACGCUCACGCCGCAGACCUUGACCCACAACACUGAAGCAGCACUUCAAGACCAUGUAUACCAAUGGCACAGGAGGAAAUAACACAGUCAGUGACAGUUCCUCCAACUCUUCUACAAAUCUAGGAGUCGGGCUUGGAGUCUUCUUUUUGCUGCUUGCGAUCAUAGUUGGUGUAAUCAUUUAUAAAUUCUACGGUAUAAUCGCCAAUGUGAUGCCGUUUAGACAAAGAACAGCGCAAGAAAAGGAGGAUCACUCAGAGACCCCACAAGCAGAUUCCCAUGAAUAUACUGGUAUGAUUCGAGAGCAGUCAAUAGGACAAUCUUCUAUCUAUGAAAACCUGAAACCUCAAACUUGCGGCUACAGCAUGGCAGCUUCAAACCAAAGCAGGUUCCCAGUCGAACCUGAUGACGACGUGUACCUGCAGUGCGACGUCAUAGAUGAGGCCAUAUACAUUAAUGACCAAUCACAUGACUGUCAAGAAGAAGACGUGUACGUUUUGCCAGAUUAAUCACGGGACACAUUUGUAGAAAGGCCUGCGCAUUUUGCUCCAGUUGUUGUAUGCAGCAAGCCGUCUCUUUUGAUUUCUGUCUCUGUUUUUGUAUAACGAUGUACAGCUAAAAGUCAGCAUACUGCUACUGCUGCUUUUUGAUACAGACUGACUGUAAACAGAAAUGACUGGAUGGUAGCAACAUGUCAGUGUUAUCUGUUAUCUCCCAUUUUGGAGGAGAGUAACAAACCUUUUUUUUUUUAAUUUAAUCCACUCCCUCCUGGUACGAUUAUCUAUGUUACACAUGUUUGAUUGCUACUAUUAUUGGCACAUCUCAUAUCACAACCACGCUGGAAAACACUGUACAAAUUUUGACAGCAGUCCAAGGUAAUCAAGUUUGUGAUUAGAUUAGAUUGUUUUAUGGUGUUCUCUUGUAGUUACAGAUGAGGCUUUACUUUGACCUUUGGAGAGAAGUGUGGGCAGUCUAUCUGAGGUUUUGUGAGUCGUGUGUGUUCAGUAUUGUCCUUUUUCUCUCACUGGAAAUUCUUCACUUGGUCCUAAAUCAAAUCUAGAAACAUUUAACUUGCGUAGAUAUUGACAUCCUGUUAUGUUUUUAGUAUUUUGCUAAACAAUGCGUCCAAAAUAAAUCCAAGGUUUUAAAAAUCAAACUACAGAUAUGGAUAUGGACACACAUAUCUUUGGAAUUCCCCUUUUUGUGCAAAAACGUUUAACUACACACUGAAUCUUUGAGAUAUCUUCAUAUGAGAAAAAAUGAAGUGCAGUUUCAACAGUACAUCUCAGUUUUCUGCUGGAGUAAAGAAAAAAAUAUACUAACAUGAAGAAAUAAAUGUGUAAAAUUACCUAAAAGGUUCUGGCAGAUUAUUGCAAAGACUGUCCUGCAAUAAUAAAGCAAAGUCAUUUAUUUUUUUUAGUUUUGUUGUUUUUGUUUGUUUUUUAUUGUGGACCCACUAAAAAAAUGCUCUCAAUUUCUAUCAAUUAAUUGUUUUUCUAUAACUUAAUUACUUUUAGCGCAGUCUAAAUGGCCAUGGGGGAGGUCUCUAUCAGUAGUUAAAGCUGUAAAACUAACAAAAAAUACAGUGAGAAGUCCAAAAUCAAUGCUCUCCUUCACAUUUUCCAGUGGGGCUGGAUUGGAGUCUUGGGCGUGCCAAUUCUGGCCCCCAGGACUUCAGUUUGACACCCCUGGCCAAACACAGGUUGCAGUGGUUUCUCUGAAUUUUUUUCCUGUUUGAAUAAGGAAAACUAUUUUGCUGACCAAGUCAUCAUAAAAUUCAGCAGCAAUUUAAACUAAAGGUCAUGUAGUUAUGGAAUAGCAACCAGCGGCGAGACCAAUCAUUUUUCAUAUCACAGACAUGAUAUCAUAGUAUAUUUACCCUAGACAAAGAAAUAUGUGUGCUUUCAAACAUGUUAUCACGGACGGACAGACAGGCAGACACGGCACCCAAACUUUUCUCUGUGGUUGUUGUUGCUAAAGCAAAUGACUCAACAGUUUGUUGCAGUUACACACAGACGCAACUCUGCAUGGUGAAAACAUUACAUGCUUUAGACCCGAUAAAGUUAAAUGAUGUUUCAAAAUACUAAAACUUUUAUUUAAAUUAGAAAUUAAAAAAGGGACAAGAUAAGUGAGAAGCUCGAUGGCUCCCACGUGAUAUAUUUCUGGGAUUUACUCUAGCGUGGGAGUGUAAAGGCAGCCAACCAGAUGUGUGGGAUUUAUUACUCCAGUUCAUGCUAUAAGAUGCAAGAUAAGAUGCAAAGAGCAGAAUUUAAAAAAAAUUCUUAUCACUUUCCUUUAAAAUGAUAAGCCAAUGAGGCUUUACAAACACUAUAUUAGGAACCAAAAAACUCAUGAUUAGUAGUAACUGCUACACAAAAAUGUUCAUAUAAAACAGAAAGCAUGUGGUUUAUGCAAAGGCAGGAAAAGAUGCAAUGGUCAGCACUAUUUUAUCUAGUCUGUGGGUUGUCGGCUUUUUCAGGCGCGAGGUCCAGAGAGGAUGUGAAAAUCUGUCGUUCUUUUUACAGCUCGAGUCCAGAUCUGCGCGGAUUUCAGAGAGCAAUCGAAAUAUGAAAGCCACAGAAUAACAAAUGAGGUAGGCUAUUUGAGGAUCUGAAGGAAGGGAAUGCCCAACCGAAAGCCUGUGUGUCUCAGGCCACGCACACACACACAGAGCACGGUUUAGUAAAUGCUCUGCUUGCUUGUAUCGUUUGGGUGGAAUGCAGCUCAAAACCUUUCAGCACAUGAGAAUGAAUGCCUUUCCAUCCAUUCACACAUGACUGUGUAGCAACCCUGAAGAUGUCAUCUUUGAAACAAAGCGUUAACAGGACAAAAGCUAAGAAAAGAAUGAGCAGUGACUCAAUUGAGAGGCCCAACAGAUGUUCCAGUAGGUCUGCUUAAUCAUCUAUUAACUCAAUGAGCUCAGUAUGUCCCACUUUUUAAAAAAAGCUCGGUCUAUUGAUCGCAAAGCAGCAUGGGCUCCUGUUUAACUGACCUUUAUCCCUUUCAAGAUAAAAAAAAAACAAAAAACCUAUAAAGCACUUAUUACAGCCAGUUGUGUCAAGCCAGAUAUCAAUUUGCUCACUUUGUACCACAGGAUAUGUUAAUAUUUCCUUUUCACCCUAAACCUUGAGCUGUAAUUAUGAAUUCAGGGUUUUUUUAAGCUUCUUUUAAGUUAUUUUUCAAGUUACUUGA
Haplochromis burtoni (Burton's mouthbrooder) is the source of this 3588-nucleotide long non-coding RNA. RefSeq lists it as uncharacterized. The record is from RefSeq and is a predicted model, not a curated record. Lineage: Eukaryota; Metazoa; Chordata; Actinopteri; Cichliformes; Cichlidae. The transcript has 4 exons.